CUUCUCAUUGUCCAGUGUCCAGUGUCCAGUGUCAUGAGUUUGACUAUCCCCUUAACCCUAGGGCAGGAGUCCCUCCCUUGCCAAUGGUGUGAAACGGAGGUGAAAAACCAUGAAAUCACAAAGUGUGUUCUCUAAGCAUAAGGGAAUCAACCUAAAUCAAUAAAAAGGUAACAGAAAAAUCUAAGACCCAUAAGCCAAACAACACAAUUCUCAAUAAUCCAUGGAUGCAAGAGGAAAUCCCAAGGGAAAUUAAAAAAAAAAAAGAUGUGAUCUGUAUCAAAGGUGGAGGUAAUUAAAGGAAAGAAGGAGUUGGGAGUGGUUUGAAAUUCAGAUGGUGAGAGGCAGGAGGUGAGCUAGCCAUCACAGUCACUCUAAGGGACCAGUGCAGAUGUAUGGGUUCCAUUAACUACUUAAACACCUUGGAAAGUAGAAGGAGAUACAGUACUCUGAGGGGAAAGUUGAUAGGUGGAAUUUACGGGGUGAAAGUUGAAACAAAACUAUGGGAGUGCUGACCAGAGACAAGAGAAUCACCUUCACAGAACACAGGAGAUCAUGGAGAAAGGUGGGAAAAGACAGAGGCUGAUGGCUGAUGGUGUGACACAGAAGACUUCCUUCCUUCCCUUUCAUGCCCUGCCAUAGCUGAGCCCUUUAAGUGGGAAUGCUGACAAGGAACUUGGACCUUCUGAGCAUAACAAUCAUGUGAUGAAAACUCUCUGCCAGCUGCUUCUCUCUGAGCAGCCAGAAAUUAUUCUUAUUAACUUUUCUUUAUCCUUGUCUUUUAUCUGCCCAGAGUCUGCAGAGAUUCAGGGGAUUACUUUGCAAUUAUAACUACAAAGAUAUAGGAAUAAAACUUUAAAAAUCAAUUUAAUAAAUAUUUUUUAUUAUUUGGGGGUUUGUUACUUCACCCAAUUUGUUCAGCAAGUACUUCCUUGUUCAUGGCUGGGAACCAGCAUACAACAAGAUGUAGGAUGGAGAUGAUUGUCAGCUCUGGCUAUCAAAGACCAAGUUCUUUCUACACUUUUCCUCCACUGUCUCUAGUGGGUUGGCUUUCAUCCUCAUGUUUCUUGCCUCAUGGUUACAAGAUGACUGCUACCACUCCAGACAUCACAUAAAAAUUUAAGGCAGAGAAAUAAACAUAGAGGAAAAAGGCUUUCUUCUGAAGUU
RNAcentral lists this long non-coding RNA (1164 nucleotides) under Ursus maritimus (polar bear). RNAcentral describes it as "lncRNA (ENSUMAG00000018006.1)". The record is from RNAcentral. Lineage: Eukaryota; Metazoa; Chordata; Mammalia; Carnivora; Ursidae.